UGGGGAAUUUUGGACAAUGGGCGAAAGCCUGAUCCAGCAAUGCCGCGUGUGUGAAGAAGGCCUUCGGGUUGUAAAGCACUUUUGUCCGGAAAGAAAUCCUUGGCUCUAAUACAGUCGGGGGAUGACGGUACCGGAAGAAUAAGCACCGGCUAACUACGUGCCAGCAGCCGCGGUAAUACGUAGGGUGCAAGCGUUAAUCGGAAUUACUGGGCGUAAAGCGUGCGCAGGCGGUUUGCUAAGACCGAUGUGAAAUCCCCGGGCUCAACCUGGGAACUGCAUUGGUGACUGGCAGGCUAGAGUAUGGCAGAGGGGGGUAGAAUUCCACGUGUAGCAGUGAAAUGCGUAGAGAUGUGGAGGAAUACCGAUGGCGAAGGCAGCCCCCUGGGCCAAUACUGACGCUCAUGCACGAAAGCGUGGGGAGCAAAACAGGAUUAGAUACCCUGGUAGUCCACGCCCUAAAACGAUGUCAACUAGUUGUUGGGGAUUCAUUUCCUUAGUAACGUAGCUAACGCGUGAAGUUGACCGCCUGGGGAGUACGGUCGCAAGAUUAAAACUCAAAGGAAUUGACGGGGUCAUAGCUGUUCCU
RNAcentral lists this ribosomal RNA (586 nucleotides) under uncultured bacterium. Its description in RNAcentral is "partial 16S ribosomal RNA". It matches the Rfam family "Bacterial small subunit ribosomal RNA", at positions 355 to 937 of the family's 1533-position model. The record is from RNAcentral.